CCCCUGGGAAGUCCUCGUGUUGCACCCC
RNAcentral lists this ribosomal RNA (28 nucleotides) under Platanus mexicana var. mexicana. Lineage: Eukaryota; Viridiplantae; Streptophyta; Magnoliopsida; Proteales; Platanaceae. The record is from RNAcentral.